Molecule: small nuclear RNA, 132 nt
Filed under: Triticum aestivum (bread wheat)
Lineage: Eukaryota; Viridiplantae; Streptophyta; Magnoliopsida; Poales; Poaceae
Also listed under: 1 other name
Description: U1 spliceosomal RNA
Rfam family: U1 spliceosomal RNA
About the family: U1 is a small nuclear RNA (snRNA) component of the spliceosome (involved in pre-mRNA splicing). Its 5' end forms complementary base pairs with the 5' splice junction, thus defining the 5' donor site of an intron.
Source: Rfam by way of RNAcentral
AUACUUACCUGGACGGGGUCGACGGGUGAUCAGGAAGAUCACAUGGUGGGUGCGUUGGCUUACCAUCUUCCCAAAGUGGGAGAGUGGACGUCAUAAUUUGUGGUAGAGGGGUACGCGUUCGCGCGGCCCCUG